GACGAACCGUGCGAACGUUGUUCGGAAUCACUGGGCUUAAAGGGCGCGUAGGCGGGCAGGCAAGUCAGGGGUGAAAGCCCACGGCUCAACCGUGGAAGCGCCUUUGAUACUGCCGGCCUCGAGGGAGGUAGGGGCGUGCGGAACUUCCGGUGGAGCGGUGAAAUGCGUAGAUAUCGGAAGGAACACCGGUGGCGAAAGCGGCGCGCUGGACCUCUUCUGACGCUGAGGCGCGAAAGCCAGGGGAGCAAACGGG
Molecule: ribosomal RNA, 253 nt
Filed under: uncultured bacterium
Lineage: Bacteria
Description: partial 16S ribosomal RNA
Rfam family: Bacterial small subunit ribosomal RNA
Source: RNAcentral